RNAcentral lists this ribosomal RNA (445 nucleotides) under uncultured bacterium. RNAcentral describes it as "bacterial SSU rRNA". It matches the Rfam family "Bacterial small subunit ribosomal RNA", at positions 29 to 524 of the family's 1533-position model. The record is from RNAcentral.
AACGAACGCUGGCGGCAGGCUUAACACAUGCAAGUCGAGCGCCUCGCAAGAGGAGCGGCAGACGGGUGAGUAACACGUGGGAAACUACCCUUGGUACGGAAUAACACAGAGAAAUUUGUGCUAAUACCGUAUGUGCCCUUCGGGGAAGAUUUAUCGCCAUAGGAUGUGCCCGCGUCGGAUUAGCUAGUUGGUGUGGUAAUGGCGCACCAAGGCGACGAUCCGUAGCUGGUCUGAGAGGAUGAUCAGCCACAUUGGGACUGAGACACGGCCCAAACUCCUACGGGAGGCAGCAGUGGGGAAUAUUGGACAAUGGGCGCAAGCCUGAUCCAGCCAUGCCGCGUGAGUGAUGAAGGCCUUAGGGUUGUAAAGCUCUUUCACCCACGACGAUAAUGACGGUAGUGGGAGAAGAAGCCCCGGCUAACUUCGUGCCAGCAGCCGCGGUAAU